Molecule: ribosomal RNA, 429 nt
Filed under: uncultured bacterium
Lineage: Bacteria
Description: partial 16S ribosomal RNA
Rfam family: Bacterial small subunit ribosomal RNA
Source: RNAcentral
ACUACGGGAGGCAGCAGUGGGGAAUAUUGGACAAUGGGCGAAACCUGAUCCAGCCAUGCCGCGUGUGUGAAGAGGUCUUCGGAUUGUAAGCACUUUAAGUUGGGAGGCGUUACCGACAGAAUAAGCACCGGCUAACUCUGUGCCAGCAGCCGCGGUAAUACAGAGGGUGCAAGCGUUAAUCGGAAUUACUGGGCGUAAAGCGCGCGUAGGUGGUUUGUUAAGUUGAAUGUGAAAUCCCCGGGCUCAACCUGGGAACUGCAUCCAAAACUGGCAAGCUAGAGUAUGGUAGAGGGUGGUGGAAUUUCCUGUGUAGCGGUGAAAUGCGUAGAUAUAGGAAGGAACACCAGUGGCGAAGGCGACCACCUGGACUGAACUGACACUGAGGUGCGAAAGCGUGGGGAGCAAACAGGAUUAGAUACCCUUGUAGUC